UACAGAGAGUGCGAACGUUGUUCGGAAUUACUGGGCUUAAAGCGCACGUAGGCGGCAUCGUAAGUGUCCGGUGAAAUCCCACGGCUCACCCGUGGAACUGCCUGGCAGACUGCGAUGCUCGAGUCCGGUAGAGGAGUGUGGAAUUCCCGGUGUAGCGGUGAAAUGCGCAGAUAUCGGGAGGAACACCCGUAGCGAAGGCGGCACUCUGGGCCGGAACUGACGCUGAGGAGCGAAAGCGUGGGGAGCAAACAGG
This 253-nucleotide ribosomal RNA is filed under the name uncultured bacterium. Its description in RNAcentral is "partial 16S ribosomal RNA". It matches the Rfam family "Bacterial small subunit ribosomal RNA", at positions 524 to 776 of the family's 1533-position model. The record is from RNAcentral.